RNAcentral lists this ribosomal RNA (433 nucleotides) under uncultured bacterium. RNAcentral's name for it is "partial 16S ribosomal RNA". It matches the Rfam family "Bacterial small subunit ribosomal RNA", at positions 29 to 507 of the family's 1533-position model. The record is from RNAcentral.
AACGAACGCUGGCGGCAUGCCUAACACAUGCAAGUCGAACGAGACCUCCGGGUCUAGUGGCGCACGGGUGCGUAACGCGUGGGAACCUGCCCUUAGGUUCGGAAUAACUCCCCGACAGGGGUGCUAAUACCGGAUAACGUCCUCGGACCAAAGAUUUAUCGCCCUUGGAUGGGCCGGCGUUGGUUUAGCCUGUUGGUAGGGUAAAAGCCUACCAAGGCGACGCUCCAUAGCUGGUCUGAGAGGAUGAUCAGCCACACUGGGACUGAGAAGCGGUCCAGACUCCUACGGGAGGCAGCAGUGGGGAAUAUUGGACUAUGGGCGAAGUCCUGAUCCAGCAAUGCCGCGUGAGUGAUGAAGGCCUUAGGGUUGUAAAGCUCUUUUACCCGGGAUGAUAAUGACAGUACCGGAAGAAUAAGCUCCGGCUAACUCCGUG